GAUGAACGCUGGCGGCGUGCUUAACACAUGCAGGUCGAACGGUGAAGGCGGAGCUUGCUCUGCUGGAUCAGUGGCGAACGGGUGAGUAACACGUGAGCAAUCUGCCCCUGACUCUGGGAUAAGCGCUGGAAACGGCGUCUAAUACUGGAUACGAGCUGCGAAGGCAUCUUCAGCAGCUGGAAAGAACUUCGGUCAGGAAUGAGCUCGCGGCCUAUCAGCUUGUUGGUGAGGUAACGGCUCACCAAGGCGUCGACGGGUAGCCGGCCUGAGAGGGUGACCGGCCACACUGGGACUGAGACACGGCCCAGACUCCUACGGGAGGCAGCAGUGGGGAAUAUUGCACAAUGGGCGAAAGCCUGAUGCAGCAACGCCGCGUGAGGGACGACGGCCUUCGGGUUGUAAACCUCUUUUAGCAGGGAAGAAGCGAAAGUGACGGUACCUGCAGAAAAAGCGCCGGCUAACUACGUG
RNAcentral lists this ribosomal RNA (468 nucleotides) under uncultured bacterium. RNAcentral's name for it is "partial 16S ribosomal RNA". It matches the Rfam family "Bacterial small subunit ribosomal RNA", at positions 28 to 507 of the family's 1533-position model. The record is from RNAcentral.